Molecule: ribosomal RNA, 434 nt
Filed under: uncultured Lachnospiraceae bacterium
Lineage: Bacteria; Bacillati; Bacillota; Clostridia; Lachnospirales; Lachnospiraceae
Also listed under: 1 other name
Description: partial 16S ribosomal RNA
Rfam family: Bacterial small subunit ribosomal RNA
Source: RNAcentral
ACGGAAGGCAGCAGUGGGGAAUAUUGCACAAUGGGGGAAACCCUGAUGCAGCGACGCCGCGUGAGUGAAGAAGUAUUUCGGUAUGUAAAGCUCUAUCAGCAGGAAAGAAAAUGACGGUACCUGACUAAGAAGCCCCGGCUAACUACGUGCCAGCAGCCGCGGUAAUACGUAGGGGGCAAGCGUUAUCCGGAUUUACUGGGUGUAAAGGGAGCGUAGACGGCUUUGCAAGUCUGAAGUGAAAGCCCGGGGCUUAACCCCGGAACUGCUUUGGAAACUGUAGAGCUAGAGUGCAGGAGAGGUAAGUGGAAUUCCUAGUGUAGCGGUGAAAUGCGUAGAUAUUAGGAGGAACACCAGUGGCGAAGGCGGCUUACUGGACUGUAACUGACGUUGAGGCUCGAAGGCGUGGGGAGCAAACAGGAUUAGAUACCCUGGUA